AAUCCAUAGGUUAAUGAGGCGAACCGGGGGAACUGAAACAUCUAAGUACCCCGAGGAAAAGAAAUCAACCGAGAUUCCCCCAGUAGCGGCGAGCGAACGGGGAGGAGCCCAGAGCCUGAAUCAGCAUGUGUGUUAGUGGAAGCGUCUGGAAAGGCGCGCGAUACAGGGUGACAGCCCCGUACACAAAAGCGCAUGUGCUGUGAGCUCGAUGAGUAGGGCGGGACACGUGGUAUCCUGUCUGAAUAUGGGGGGACCAUCCUCCAAGGCUAAAUACUCCUGACUGACCGAUAGUGAACCAGUACCGUGAGGGAAAGGCGAAAAGAACCCCGGCGAGGGGAGUGAAAAAGAACCUGAAACCGUGUACGUACAAGCAGUGGGAGCACAGGUUUACCUGUGUGACUGCGUACCUUUUGUAUAAUGGGUCAGCGACUUAUAUUCUGUAGCAAGGUUAACCGAAUAGGGGAGCCGGAGGGAAACCGAGUCUUAAUUGGGCGUUAAGUUGCAGGGUAUAGACCCGAAACCCGGUGAUCUAGCCAUGGGCAGGUUGAAGGUUGGGUAACACUAACUGGAGGACCGAACCGACUAAUGUUGAAAAAUUAGCGGAUGACCUGUGGCUGGGGGUGAAAGGCCAAUCAAACCGGGAGAUAGCUGGUUCUCCCCGAAAGCUAUUUAGGUAGCGCCUCGUGAAUUCAUCUCCGGGGGUAGAGCACUGUUUCGGCUAGGGGGCCAUCCCGGCUUACCAACCCGAUGCAAACUGCGAAUACCGGAGAAUGUUAUCACGGGAGACACACGGCGGGUGCUAACGUCCGUCGUGAAGAGGGAAACAACCCAGACCGCCAGCUAAGGUCCCAAAGUCAUGGUUAAGUGGGAAACGAUGUGGGAAGGCCCAGACAGCCAGGAUGUUGGCUUAGAAGCAGCCAUCAUUUAAAGAAAGCGUAAUAGCUCACUGGUCGAGUCGGCCUGCGCGGAAGAUGUAACGGGGCUAAACCAUGCACCGAAGCUGCGGCAGCGAACGUAUCACCCAAGACAACUUUACGGAGUUGACGAUUGACGGAGCGAAGCGACGUCAAAGCGUUCAUUAAAGUCGAGUUGGCUUAGGGAUACGUUCGUUGGGUAGGGGAGCGUUCUGUAAGCCUGUGAAGGUGUGUCGUGAGGCAUGCUGGAGGUAUCAGAAGUGCGAAUGCUGACAUAAGUAACGAUAAAGCGGGUGAAAAGCCCGCUCGCCGGAAGACCAAGGGUUCCUGUCCAACGUUAAUCGGGGCAGGGUGAGUCGACCCCUAAGGCGAGGCCGAAAGGCGUAGUCGAUGGGAAACGGGUUAAUAUUCCCGUACUUGGUGUUACUGCGAAGGGGGGACGGAGAAGGCUAUGUUGGCCGGGCGACGGUUGUCCCGGUUUAAGCGUGUAGGUGUGUGUUCCAGGUAAAUCCGGUU
Molecule: ribosomal RNA, 1430 nt
Filed under: Salmonella enterica subsp. enterica serovar Typhimurium
Lineage: Bacteria; Pseudomonadati; Pseudomonadota; Gammaproteobacteria; Enterobacterales; Enterobacteriaceae
Description: partial 23S ribosomal RNA
Rfam family: Bacterial large subunit ribosomal RNA
Source: RNAcentral